This 113-nucleotide ribosomal RNA is filed under the name Sphenodon punctatus (tuatara). The record is from RNAcentral. Lineage: Eukaryota; Metazoa; Chordata; Lepidosauria; Sphenodontia; Sphenodontidae.
GACUACGCUAGACUCAACGUGCCUGAGCCUGUCUGAUCUCAGACACUAAACAGUCCCAGGUCUAGCUAAUAACUGAAUGAGAGACUGCCUGGGAAUUCCAACUGCUGUAGGCU